This 270-nucleotide ribosomal RNA is filed under the name uncultured bacterium. RNAcentral describes it as "partial 16S ribosomal RNA". It matches the Rfam family "Bacterial small subunit ribosomal RNA", at positions 88 to 354 of the family's 1533-position model. The record is from RNAcentral.
CCGGCGACCGGCGCACGGGUGAGUAACACGUAUGAAACCUGCCCGUAGCAGGGGGAUAAGCGGAAGAAAUUCCGUCUAAUACCGCGUAACAACCCAUGGAGGCAUCUCUGUGGGUUUAAAGGAAGCGAUUCCGGCUACGGAUGGUCAUGCGUCGCAUUAGCUUGUUGGCGGGGUAACGGCCCACCGUGGCGACGAUGCGUAGGGGUUCUGAGAGGAAGGUCCCCCACACUGGUACUGAGACACGGACCAGACUCCUACGGGAGGCAGCAG